Molecule: long non-coding RNA, 266 nt
Filed under: Daphnia pulicaria
Lineage: Eukaryota; Metazoa; Arthropoda; Branchiopoda; Diplostraca; Daphniidae
Description: uncharacterized LOC124312567
Source: RNAcentral
CUCAUCGUCAUCAUUAUCAUCGCUUGAGCAACAAGGUCCGCCAAGCACUCCCGAAACACCGAUCACGGUUGGGCUUUCGGACAUUUUGAAAUGGAAGGAGGAGCUGUCUGCAGUAAGGGUUUCGUGGAUUACAUCGUCAGACAGGAUGAGGUGGCUAGAGGAUCAAUUUAAUCAUCUUAUUCCAAAUAACAAUAGUAAUGUAGUUGCUGAAUUUGGGAAGGGAGGUCAUUGAGAUUGGUUGUUUGGAUAAUAAAAUGUUAGGCUCA